Molecule: ribosomal RNA, 218 nt
Filed under: Vibrio cholerae
Lineage: Bacteria; Pseudomonadati; Pseudomonadota; Gammaproteobacteria; Vibrionales; Vibrionaceae
Description: partial 16S ribosomal RNA
Rfam family: Bacterial small subunit ribosomal RNA
Source: RNAcentral
CGGCGGACGGGUGAGUAAUGCGUGGAUAACCUACCUAUAAGACUGGGAUAACUUCGGGAAACCGGAGCUAAUACCGGAUAAUAUUUUGAACCGCAUGGUUCAAAAGUGAAAGACGGUCUUGCUGUCACUUAUAGAUGGAUCCGCGCUGCAUUAGCUAGUUGGUAAGGUAACGGCUUACCAAGGCAACGAUGCAUAGCCGACCUGAGAGGGUGAUCGGC